Long non-coding RNA from Amblyraja radiata (thorny skate), 262 nucleotides. RefSeq lists it as uncharacterized. NCBI's taxonomy places the organism in Eukaryota, Metazoa, Chordata, Chondrichthyes, Rajiformes, Rajidae. The transcript is spliced from 3 exons. The record is from RefSeq and is a predicted model, not a curated record.
UGAGCCGUGAGUGAAUUAAGGCUUUGGCGACGGCCUCCUGCACACAAUCAGUUGGUUCACCCUCCAGGUACAACUCAUCCAGAUUUUCCAGGCUGUUUUGCUUGCGGAGACCCCUUGCCGAACUCUUCCCGACUGGGCAACGAUUUUCCAGUUUCGCUAUCGCUGUAGCUUCAGCAGGGAAAGAGAUCGACUUCUAGCCGGUAAGGGGUUUUAAGGUAUGUCCCUCCCCUUCUGUGUUUGCCCCUCCCAUGUGCUGAGUCCU